RNAcentral lists this small RNA (74 nucleotides) under Xenorhabdus szentirmaii DSM 16338. The record is from RNAcentral. Lineage: Bacteria; Pseudomonadati; Pseudomonadota; Gammaproteobacteria; Enterobacterales; Morganellaceae.
AACCGCUAUAGGUGGUUCUUUGAUGGAAACCAAUUUCCCUAGGCCGAGUAGAGGAAUAGACUCGGCCUUUUUUU